This is a long non-coding RNA of Xenopus laevis (African clawed frog), 1858 nucleotides long. RefSeq lists it as uncharacterized. The transcript is spliced from 5 exons. The record is from RefSeq and is a predicted model, not a curated record. NCBI's taxonomy places the organism in Eukaryota, Metazoa, Chordata, Amphibia, Anura, Pipidae.
UUUUUUAUGAAGCAAUUAAGAAAAAUUACAUUGGAAAUGCUCCGGCAAUGAUCAGUGAUCUGAUUUGCACCCAGCAAAUGAAAAUCCUAGCAAUAUUUCGCUUCACUUAUGCUUUACUAGCAUUUUGGGGAUCAAUACUAGCCAGUAAUACAUAGAAAACUUUGCAUGAAGCAUAACUGGAUUUUUAAGAACCAAACCAGAACAAUGACAAUAUAUUGUUGGCAGUCCUGCAUUAGAAUGCUGCACAAAAGUGCGUUGAGUUAUCCUUCCAUCAACAUCUGCACGCGGGGCUACAGUAAAAUAAAUGAUAAGAGGCAUCCAAAUGUGACCGCGCUGGGAAGAACAGCCAUCCUGUAUUUGCCUCCACCAUUCAGUGCCAUCGCCUUGUGCCUCCAAGACGUGAUUCUUUCCUGUGUUCUGUUACUGUUCAAAGCAGAGAGCAAGGAGUAAAGUGCAUUUCUAGAUUGUUGCAUCAGUCUGCUGGGAGUUAUGGCUGGAACAUGCUUCAGAAAUGUGUCCGACACAUCAGAAGAAAAUCUGUUUUUAAUCUGCAGUGGGACUUUACUUUUCUUGAAAUGAAUCUAAAAAAAACCCUUACUGGCUUAUUCAAAUAAAACAUUCCUCUUUUCCGAGGUGAAUCCAUUCCAAGAAGCAUAUAACGAAAAGAUUCCAAAGAUCUGUCUCGUUCCUUACUUCUCCCUAAAAGUCAGAUUAUUUACGUAUAAAUUAGUCAGAGGCACAAAUACCAUCCCGUGACAGAAGCUGCCAUCUUGGUUUGCUUAAUUCUUAAAAAUUAGGCACAGUUGAGAAGAUAAAAAGUGUAUUUUCUGUAUUUGCUGACAAAAAGCAAAGAAAAAAAAGACUCUGGAUUAUUUCCACAAACUACUGUGUUUCUCAUUUAGCCCUAGCAUCUCUGGAAAUGUUUAAAGAUAAUUAUACUUUGGAACCUGGGAUACCAAUGGGACCGGGAAAUAUUAACAAUUGGAAGGUAGACCAUUGUUGCACAAAUGUACCAUAAAUUAAAAAUUAGGCUAAUGUCACAAUGGCAACUUUUAAGCAGCAAUGAAAGACACUGGGGAUUCCGCCCUGAAAUUGGAAUAUAUUACCAACUAUUGAAGAAUGCAUUUGAGAGUUACCUAUGCAGACUGAUUAGGUCCCAAGAGAACCUUUAACCAAACAAAACCAUUCCAGGAUCUCAGAAGUCAUGCUCAGACCUCCCAAAACAUGGCAUGAGCACCUGUAUGUCUCUGGAAGGAACACUGGGAUACAGUGCAAGAAAUAUGGCACCCUCUGUUGUCCCUGAGAUACAGAACAGCAAAGUAGCUUAUCUGAAUCCUGGACUUCACUUGGGGUAGGUACAUGGGCCAAAUGACUAGAUCAUAAUCUAAUCACUGGGGUAAUUGCUUGAAUGAUCUGUUACGGGGCAGUAUAUAUGAGUCACUUAAAUUAAUUACAGAGUAAUUAUGCUGCAGGCCUAGUCAUUGUUAGCAACCAUUGACUGGUCAGCUGCUUCUAAGCAAACAUCUUAUUGGAUGUUAUGGUUGACUCCAACUGGGCAAACUUGGUUUCUUUUGCAUAUGGCAGUAGGGAGACUCCCUGACCCAACCGUUCACCCAUUAGAGCAGGGGUCCAACCUUUUUUACCUGUGUGCAACAUUCAUUUGUAAAAAGAGUUGAGGAGCAAUGCAACCUUGAACAUUUUUUCUGGGGGUGCCAAAUAAGGACUGUGAUUUGGUAGCCCCCUAUGUGGUCUGUCAGCUUAUAGGGGGUUUUGUUUCGCAGUACACCAAGUUUUUAUGCAACAAACUUGCCUCCAAGCCGAGAAUUCAAACAUAAGCACCUGCUUUUAAGACACUAGA